GACGAACGCUGGCGGCGUGCCUAAUACAUGCAAGUAGAACGCUGAAGAGAGGAGCUUGCUCUUCUUGGAUGAGUUGCGAACGGGUGAGUAACGCGUAGGUAACCUGCCUGGUAGCGGGGGAUAACUAUUGGAAACGAUAGCUAAUACCGCAUAAAAUUGAUUAUUGCAUGAUAAUUAAUUGAAAGAUGCAACUGCAUCACUACCAGAUGGACCUGCGUUGUAUUAGCUAGUUGGUGAGGUAACGGCUCACCAAGGCGACGAUACAUAGCCGACCUGAGAGGGUGGGCGGCCACACUGGGACUGAGACACGGCCCAGACUCCUACGGGAGGCAGCAGUAGGGAAUCUUCGGCAAGGGGGGGAACCCUGACCGAGCAACGCCGCGUGAGUGAAGAAGGUUGUCGGAUCGUAAAGCUCUGUUGUAAGAGAAGAACGGGUGUGAGAGUGGAAAGUUCACACUGUGACGGUAUCUUACCAGAAAGGGACGGCUAACUACGUG
Molecule: ribosomal RNA, 497 nt
Filed under: uncultured bacterium
Lineage: Bacteria
Description: partial 16S ribosomal RNA
Rfam family: Bacterial small subunit ribosomal RNA
Source: RNAcentral